Molecule: ribosomal RNA, 357 nt
Filed under: uncultured bacterium FR037
Lineage: Bacteria
Description: bacterial SSU rRNA
Rfam family: Bacterial small subunit ribosomal RNA
Source: RNAcentral
UAGAGUUUGAUCCUGGCUCAGGACGAACGCUGGCGGCGUGCCUAAUACAUGCAAGUCGAGCGGAGAAUUUGGAGCUUGCUCCAAAUUUUCAGCGGCGGACGGGUGAGUAACACGUGGGCAACCUGCCCUGCAGAUCGGGAUAACUCCGGGAAACCGGUGCUAAUACCGGAUAGUUUAUUCCACCUCCUGGUGGAAUACGGAAAGACGGCGUCUCGCUGUCACUGCAGGAUGGGCCCGCGGCGCAUUAGCUAGUUGGUGGGGUAACGGCUCACCAAGGCCACGAUGCGUAGCCGACCUGAGAGGGUGAUCGGCCACACUGGGACUGAGACACGGCCCAGACUCCUACGGGACGCAGCA